Molecule: small nucleolar RNA, 122 nt
Organism: Pistacia vera
Lineage: Eukaryota; Viridiplantae; Streptophyta; Magnoliopsida; Sapindales; Anacardiaceae
Product: small nucleolar RNA SNORD14
Exons: 1
Source: RefSeq, a predicted model, not a curated record
GGUCUGUGAUGACAAAGUGAAGGCUUGUUCUCAAAACAUUCCGCAGUGGCCGCCUGAGAGCUUUCGCCUCGCCAGGCUUGAGAGCUGCUGUCGCUUAUUUUCCUUCCUGGAUGUCUGAGACC